Tupaia belangeri (northern tree shrew) is the source of this 104-nucleotide small nucleolar RNA. The record is from Ensembl. Lineage: Eukaryota; Metazoa; Chordata; Mammalia; Scandentia; Tupaiidae.
AUCCUUUUGUGGCUCAUAAAUGUGACCACUGGAAUUGUACACUAUUGUGUAAGAUGUGCCUCCCUCUAACCUCAUUACAACACUGGCACAUGACUCUUCUGGUG